This 335-nucleotide unclassified non-coding RNA is filed under the name soil metagenome. RNAcentral's name for it is "partial contains 5.8S ribosomal RNA, internal transcribed spacer 2, and large subunit ribosomal RNA". The stretch from base 1 to 120 matches the Rfam family "5.8S ribosomal RNA", at positions 35 to 154 of the family's 154-position model. The record is from RNAcentral.
GAUGAAGAACGUAGCGAAAUGCGAUAAGUAAUGUGAAUUGCAGAAUUCAGUGAAUCAUCGAAUCUUUGAACGCACAUUGCGCCCGCUAGUAUUCUGGCGGGCAUGCCUGUUCGGGCGUCAUUUCAACCAUCAAGCUCUAGGCUUGUGUUGGAGCCCUGCGGCCGUCCGCAGCCUCCUAAAAACAGUGGCGGGCUCGCUAUCACACCGAGUGCAGUAGUUUACUCUUCGCUCAGGGCGUGUAGCGGGUUCCGGCCGUAAAACUCUCUAUUUCUAAAUGUUGACCUCGGAUCAGGUAGGAAUACCCGCUGAACUUAAGCAUAUCAAUAAGCGGAGGA